This 590-nucleotide ribosomal RNA is filed under the name uncultured organism. RNAcentral describes it as "bacterial SSU rRNA". It matches the Rfam family "Bacterial small subunit ribosomal RNA", at positions 57 to 693 of the family's 1533-position model. The record is from RNAcentral.
GCAAGUCGAACGGGCUCUUUGGAGCUAGUGGCGGACGGGUGAGUAACGCGUGAGAAUCUGCCUUCAGGAGGGGGAUAACGACUGGAAACGGUCGCUAAUACCCCAUAUGCCUCCGGGUGAAAAGUAAUUCGCCUGAAGAUGAGCUCGCGUCAGAUUAGCUAGUUGGUGGGGUAAGAGCCUACCAAGGCGACGAUCUGUAGCUGGUCUGAGAGGAUGAUCAGCCACAGUGGGACUGAGACACGGCCCAGACUCCUACGGGAGGCAGCAGUGGAGAAUUUUCCGCAAUGGGCGCAAGCCUGACGGAGCAAGACCGCGUGGGGGAUGACGGCCUAAUGGUUGUAAACCCCUUUGCUCUGGGAAGAAGACUGACGGUACCAGAGGAAUCAGCCUCGGCUAACUCCGUGCCAGCAGCCGCGGUAAUACGGAGGAGGCAAGCGUUAUCCGGAAUUAUUGGGCGUAAAGCGUCCGUAGGUGGUUAUUCAAGUCUGCUGUCAAAGCGUGGGGCUUAACUCCAUAGAGGCAGUGGAAACUGAGUGACUAGAGUGCGGUAGGGGUCGAGGGAAUUCCCAGUGUAGCGGUGAAAUGCGUAG